This 251-nucleotide ribosomal RNA is filed under the name uncultured Bacillus sp. RNAcentral's name for it is "partial 16S ribosomal RNA". It matches the Rfam family "Bacterial small subunit ribosomal RNA", at positions 95 to 339 of the family's 1533-position model. The record is from RNAcentral. Lineage: Bacteria; Bacillati; Bacillota; Bacilli; Caryophanales; Bacillaceae.
GCGGCGGACGGGUGAGUAACACGUGGGUAACCUGCCUGUAAGACUGGGAUAACUCCGGGAAACCGGGGCUAAUACCGGAUGGUUGUUUGAACCGCAUGGUUCAAACAUAAAAGGUGGCUUCGGCUACCACUUACAGAUGGACCCGCGGCGCAUUAGCUAGUUGGUGAGGUAACGGCUCACCAAGGCAACGAUGCGUAGCCGACCUGAGAGGGUGAUCGGCCACACUGGGACUGAGACACGGCCCAGACUCC